Molecule: unclassified non-coding RNA, 148 nt
Organism: Callithrix jacchus (white-tufted-ear marmoset)
Lineage: Eukaryota; Metazoa; Chordata; Mammalia; Primates; Cebidae
Rfam family: Metazoan signal recognition particle RNA
About the family: The signal recognition particle (SRP) is a universally conserved ribonucleoprotein. It is involved in the co-translational targeting of proteins to membranes. The eukaryotic SRP consists of a 300-nucleotide 7S RNA and six proteins: SRPs 72, 68, 54, 19, 14, and 9.
Source: Ensembl
GCCGGGCUUGGUGGCGGGUGCCUGUAAUCCAAGCUACUCAGGAGGCUGAGGCAGGAGGAUUGCUUGAACCUGGGAGGCGGAGGUUGCAGUGAGCCAAGAUAGUGCCACUGCACUCCUGCCUGGGUGAGAGAGCAAGACUCUGUCUCAA